GAUGAAGAACGCAGCGAAAUGCGAUAAGUAAUGUGAAUUGCAGAAUUCAGUGAAUCAUCGAAUCUUUGAACGCACAUUGCGCCCGGCAGUACUCUGCCGGGCAUGCCUGUUCGAGCGACAUUUCAACCCUCAAGCCCUGCUUGGUGUUGGGGUCCCACGGCCGCCGUGGGCCCUGAAAGGAAGUGGCGGGCUCGCUACAACUCCGAGCGUAGUAAUUCAUUAUCUCGCUUAGGGCGUUGGGCGGCGCUCCUGCCGUUAAAGAACCAUCUUUAACUCAAGGUUGACCUCGGAUCAGGUAGGAAUACCCGCUGAACUUAAGCAUAUCAAUAAGCGGAGGA
RNAcentral lists this unclassified non-coding RNA (338 nucleotides) under soil metagenome. RNAcentral's name for it is "partial contains 5.8S ribosomal RNA, internal transcribed spacer 2, and large subunit ribosomal RNA". The stretch from base 1 to 120 matches the Rfam family "5.8S ribosomal RNA", at positions 35 to 154 of the family's 154-position model. The record is from RNAcentral.